Molecule: non-coding RNA, 103 nt
Organism: Podarcis lilfordi (Lilford's wall lizard)
Lineage: Eukaryota; Metazoa; Chordata; Lepidosauria; Squamata; Lacertidae
Source: the annotation of a GenBank genome assembly
GCCUUGCUGAGAGCCCAGAAGACAGAGAUGUUCUGCUAAGAAGUCGGCAGAGCGUAAGACUUUUAAUCUCAGGGUUGCGAGGGUUCAAGCCCCAUGUUGGGCA